Non-coding RNA from Rattus norvegicus (Norway rat), 54 nucleotides. NCBI's taxonomy places the organism in Eukaryota, Metazoa, Chordata, Mammalia, Rodentia, Muridae. The record is from Rfam.
AAGGUGGCUUAUGCAACGGCCAUGGACUGGUUUAUUGCAGUGUGCUAUGCCUUC